This 2666-nucleotide small RNA is filed under the name Pan troglodytes (chimpanzee). RNAcentral describes it as "processed transcript". The record is from RNAcentral. Lineage: Eukaryota; Metazoa; Chordata; Mammalia; Primates; Hominidae.
AGCCCAGUAACAAGAUGGAUGGGGCAGAGAAGGAGCCAACACAGUCAUUUUGGUUUGGAAUUACAGGCUAAUAGAUUCAUUCAUUUCCUGAAGCUGCUGUUGGAUCUCUCUUCCCCUCCCCCAAGGAGGGGACUGGCUGUGGGGGCUGGAUGCCCAGGGAGUGGGCAGUCCCAGGGAAAAUGAGAGUCUAAGCCAGGAGACCUUCGCAGACUUGAGGGGUCCUUCCCUGGGGCCUGAAGGGGGCAGAGUGCACGCAGGCCAGGGCCUGGACUGAUAGUGCCAGGAUGAUGGGUCAUUUGUUCUGGGCAGACCUUUUCUGCCUUCUCAUUAGCCUCAAAGGAGCUGCCAGGAAGCAGCUGUCAUUCAGCUCAGAGGCCCAGGGUCUGCCUGUACUGCACACAGCCCUUUCCCUCAUCUCCCUGGUCCAGAGCAGGACAGGCAGCUCCUUGAGCAUCACUAGUCCUGGGACCCACCCCAGCAGCUGGAGGAGCAGCUGAGCCGCCUUCAGCGUGAGAAGAAUGAGAUCCAGAACCGGCUGGAGGAAGAUCAGGAAGACAUGAAUGAAUUGAUGAAGAAGCACAAGGCUGCCGUGGCUCAGGCUUCCCGGGACCUGGCUCAGAUAAAUGAUCUCCAAGCUCAGCUAGAAGAAGCCAACAAAGAGAAGCAGGAGCUGCAGGAGAAGCUACAAGCCCUCCAGAGCCAGGUGGAGUUCCUGGAGCAGUCCAUGGUGGACAAGUCCCUGGUGAGCAGGCAGGAAGCUAAGAUACGGGAGCUGGAGACACGCCUGGAGUUUGAAAGGACGCAAGUGAAACGGCUGGAGAGCCUGGCUAGCCGUCUCAAGGAAAACAUGGAGAAGCUGACUGAGGAGCGGGAUCAGCGCAUUGCAGCCGAGAACCGGGAGAAGGAACAGAACAAGCGGCUACAGAGGCAGCUCCGGGACACCAAGGAGGAGAUGGGCGAGCUUGCCAGGAAGGAGGCCGAGGCGAGCCGCAAGAAGCACGAACUGGAGAUGGAUCUAGAAAGCCUGGAGGCUGCUAACCAGAGCCUGCAGGCUGACCUAAAGCUGGCAUUCAAGCGCAUCGGGGACCUGCAGGCUGCCAUCGAGGAUGAGAUGGAGAGUGAUGAAAAUGAGGACCUCAUCAACAGUGAGGGAGACUCUGAUGUGGACUCGGAGCUGGAGGACCGUGUUGACGGGGUCAAGUCCUGGUUGUCAAAAAACAGGGGACCUUCCAAGGCAGCUUCUGAUGAUGGCAGCUUAAAGAGUUCCAGCCCCACCAGCUACUGGAAGUCCCUUGCCCCUGAUCGGUCAGAUGAUGAGCACGACCCUCUCGACAACACCUCCAGACCCCGAUACUCCCACAGCUAUCUGAGUGACAGCGACACAGAGGCCAAGCUGACGGAGACUAACGCAUAGCCCAGGGGAGUGGUUGGCAGCCCUCUCACCCCAGGGCCUGUGGCUGCCUGGGCGCCUCUCCCAGGAAGUGGUGGGGCACCAGUCUCCCCCACCCGACUGCUGAUCUGCAUGGGAAACACCCUGACCUUCUGUCAGGGGGACUUUCCAGGCUAUGGGUGUCUGAUGUCUCCACGUGGAAGAGGUGGGGGAAAGAGGAGUUUCUGAAGAGAACUUUUUGCUCCUCUGUCUCAAAAUGCCAGACUCUUGGCUUCUACCCUGGGUCACCGUGGGCAGUGGCAGGUGGCCUGGCACUGCAUGGAGCCAGCACGUUGACCUCCCUCUCAGCUCCCUGCUCAGGAACGGUGGACAGGUUGCCUACUGGGACACUCUAGGUUGCGGGUCCAUGGGGAGGAUUGGGGGAGGAGAAGCAGUGCCUUCCCUCUCGUGUGGGGUGGGGGCUCUCUCUUCUUGGUGCCUGCUGUCUUUCUACUUUUUAAUUUAAAUACCCAACCUCUCCAUCACAGCUGCAUCCCUGAGAGUGGGAGGGGGCUGCAGUGGUAGCUGGGGCUCCCAAGAACGACUCAGGAAUGUCAUCUCCAUCUUCACCCUUCAGAGAGCAGUCCUUUCUCUGUGCAGCUGGAGACGCUGGUGAGGAGAGCCGGGUCCAGGUUCUUAAGAAUGAGGUGCGGAGGGGCUCUCCAGUGCUGCUGGGCUGGGUUGAGCAAGCCUACGCAGACAAGUGUGUGUGUGGACCAUCCGCACCUCCAGCCCCCACCCCACCCUCUUUGUCUCAGCGUGUUAUGUGCAAUGACCUAUUUAAGAUAAACCCAUUCCAACUACAGCAGUUCAGGGCUGAUCCAAGCACUGCCUCCCUCCUGCUCUGUCCAGGUGGUCUGGACCAUAAACUCAACUUGAGAGGGAAGGCUUGGGGUUGAGGACUUGUGAUCAGAAAAACUGAAGAUGGAAGUUUUGGCCAGUGCUCAUUAGACAUGAGUCCUCACUCUGUGUCCUGAGCCCGUGUCAUUCUUCUUCCAACCUCCCUGCCCCCACACACUUAUCCCAGACACAACACCAUGUGGUCUGGAGGUCCCAGCCCCCACCCUAAAAAGGUUAUCCCUGAGAACUCCACCAGACUUGGGAGCCCAAGUGCAGUGCCUGGUGCUGCUCCCAUCUGCCGCCCCCCUUCUCUCCUGCAAUUGGUUUGUACUCACUGGGCUGUGCUCUCCCCUGUUUACCCGAUGUAUGGAAAUAAAGGCCCUUUUCCUCCUGGCUG